GGGGAAGUGUGAGUGAUAAGACGUGAAGUGACCUCGCUCGUGGUGAAAAUUCCUACAGGACAGAAUCUGUCACCGACGUCAUGACCGUUGACUGCCUUCAGACGCAAUUCAGCGGGAAAUUGGUCAACUAUGAGACUCGGGCUUCGGGGAAAAUACGAAUUUACGAGGGACUGAAGUUCGGGACGAUAAUCGAGAGAAGUGUCUGUACAUGGAAAUUAGACGGUUGAAAUGAAUAAUUUCUUUUGGAUUGUUUUGAAGGGCUGCUAAUGUAAUACAAUUAAUUUGCGCAUUUUAUAAUAAUUCUUUGCUGUGGGUAUAAUCAAAAAACCCCAGUUAUGAAAAAUUUAGGGAGAUACAAAAGCACCAAAAUGACCUGCUUAA
Dufourea novaeangliae is the source of this 381-nucleotide long non-coding RNA. RefSeq lists it as uncharacterized. The record is from RefSeq and is a predicted model, not a curated record. The transcript is spliced from 3 exons. NCBI's taxonomy places the organism in Eukaryota, Metazoa, Arthropoda, Insecta, Hymenoptera, Halictidae.